UACGUAGGGGGCUAGCGUUGUCCGGAAUCAUUGGGCGUAAAGAGCGUGUAGGCGGCCCGGUAAGUCCGCUGUAAAAGUCAAAGGCUCAACCUUUGAAUGUCAGUGGAUACUGCCGGGCUAGAGUCCGGAAGAGGCGAGUGGAACUCCUGGUGUAGCGGUGGAAUGCGCAGAUAUCAGGAAGAACACCAACGGCGAAGGCAGCUCGCUGGGACGGUACUGACGCUGAGGAGCGAAAGCAUGGGGAGCGAACAGG
This 253-nucleotide ribosomal RNA is filed under the name uncultured bacterium. RNAcentral describes it as "partial 16S ribosomal RNA". It matches the Rfam family "Bacterial small subunit ribosomal RNA", at positions 524 to 776 of the family's 1533-position model. The record is from RNAcentral.